AGCUCAAGUGCCUGGACGCCUUUCCAAAUCUGAAGGACUUCAUGGCUCGAUUUGAGACCCUUGAGAAGAUCUCUGCCUACAUGAAGUCCAGCCGCUUCCUUUCAGGCCCUGUGUAUUUGAAGACAGCGCUGUGGGGUAACAAGUAGAGCGCCCGUAAUACCAGGGCCAGGAGGAGAUUUACCUCUAUGCUUGCGGUCCAUGGUCUGGGGCCCAUCUGCGUCCCCGGGCAUCUCUGUAUCAGUCUUCCCACCUCCGUUCUUCUCUGAAAGGUGUUAGUGACUCCGCUUUCUACCCAGCCUUUCUGUAAGGGGAGGUUCUCAAACUCAGGUCUAGUUCCCUAAUUGGUUCUUGAUGUGUCAAUAAAGAAGGCUGGGAGCCAAUUGCUGGGCGGAAGGUAACAGUCAUGUAAGGUCUUCCGGCAGCUAGGGCCUGUGGCCUCCGCAACAGGCGGAUAGCCAAGGAUGUUGGCAGGGGCUGGCUGAUACAAGUCACUAAGUUUAGGGCAGAGGGAGAUGGAGAUAAUAAACUGGUAAGAGCACGCCUUUCCAGGCCGUUGUUAUCUGAGCCCAGCAAUUGUGCCUAGCAGGCAAAUUCUAAAG
RNAcentral lists this long non-coding RNA (599 nucleotides) under Rattus norvegicus (Norway rat). RNAcentral's name for it is "long non-coding RNA NONRATT016758". Lineage: Eukaryota; Metazoa; Chordata; Mammalia; Rodentia; Muridae. The record is from RNAcentral.